CAGCUAAGCACCUUAACCGGCUUUCCUCUCUAGAACAAGAUGUGUGAGGAAAUGACUCUUUGCUGUAAGCGUAAAUGAAAUAGCGGGAAAUAGAUUAUGAACAGAAUGAUACCACGGAGAUCUCAAUUUUUUCUCUUAGUCCAACACAAAAUCGCAGCUUGACAAACUUUUAAUAAGUCUUAUUACCUCCCACAUGUUAGUGUUUUGCUUAUCAAGUUUUGGGCCAAUACUCUAUUCUUUCGCAUAAAUUUUUAUUUUCCCCACCGUUCUCAAGCUGAGCUAGAUGGAUUAGUUUCUUUGCUGCAAUCAUCACUUGUUUAAUUGCAGACAAAGAAUUGUUGGAGUGGGCAUAAACUUUGUUGAAUUACAUCCUCUUUCUUUCCUUUAUUGCAUUCUUGGAUUUCAAAGCACAAGAAAUUUCUUAUGUAAAAAUGUAGAAAACAUGCUCUGUGUCUUGUCCUACUUUGUUACUACAAUAAGUGCACAACCAACAUCCUAUCAUGCCAUGGAUCCGAAAAGCUGAAGCUUUACUCUUGAAUAGGAACUUAUUUCCUGAAAAUAUAGGUAUUGUGCUAGGAUAUGGGUUCUUUCUCCUUUUUAUUAUACUCUAGUGUUAUCCUCGUGUUUCCUAUUUUUAGAUUGAUAUUAGUACCUGAUGUUUCCUUUGCUUCCUUUUUAUUUUUUCUGGUUGUUGCUACUAUCUCGCUUUUCAUAGUCUUUUCUCUUUUGUCAUAACUGCUGUGUUUUUGCUUUAUUGAGCCGAAGGUCAUCCAACGACAACCUCUCUACUUUCACAAGGUAGGGGUAAGGUUUGCGUACAUAUUACCCUCCCCAGACCCCACUUGUAGGAAUACACUGAGUAUGUUGCUCUAGGACAAAAUGGUCAUAUAGCUUUUAAAGGAUAUUUCUGUAAGUUAACUUUGGACUUAGUAGGUUCCUACUUGUAGUAUAGUAUGAUAAUGUUGUGCAUUACAAGUAUGAAAAGCAUUUUACCGACGAAAGUAAUUACAAGAUCCACCUUCAAGUUUCUGCACUGGUGAAACUAUUAAAUUGAAAUUGAUGCAAUAAAUUAAAAUAAGUUCCAAUUUUGUUCAAAUAUUGAUGAGUGUCAAUCUGCUUUGAUAUGUGUGAGCUGAGACUAUUUAAGGAAUACCUACCCUAACCAAAACAAAAUAUGUUUACUAAUUUGCAAUUUGCUUGGAGAAACCAUUUGCUUAUUUUUAUUGAUUUAGUUCUGA
Molecule: long non-coding RNA, 1238 nt
Filed under: Nicotiana tabacum (common tobacco)
Lineage: Eukaryota; Viridiplantae; Streptophyta; Magnoliopsida; Solanales; Solanaceae
Description: long non-coding RNA (NTAB_LNC005693)
Source: RNAcentral